AAUUUAGCACCGUGUGUAACCUGGGAGCGCCUGAGGGGAGAACAAGCCAUCAGGAGAGGAAAGGCCGAGGGCUGAGGGUGGGACCCGUCAGUUUUGGGUUUUUCCUUGAAUUCCGAGUUACUCCCAGCCCAAGGGCUCCUGAACGAUCCCUCAGCUUCUUUGGGGGUGGUUUGUUUGGCUUUUUUGUUGUUGUUUUGGCAGGCAGUGGAAGCCGUGGAAGCUGAAGCCAGGCGGAGCAGAAGGCCCAAAUUCCCCCUGCUCCUCCCAGAUGGAUUCACCAGCCCUCCUCACAUUCCCAUGGAAGUGUUCCUAUGGAGGGCAUCCAGAUUUAUGACAAAUUCCACUCGUUUCCAGCCAAACAGGGAUCCUCUCCGGGGACGUGGGAUUUGGGGAGAUGUCCUGAGAGCAGAAAUUCUGGGGAAACUGUGACAUCAGAUGGCUGUAGGUGACAUUAUGAUGCCAUGCAGAAGAUGGCAACACCAGAAUUCAGAAGCACAGUGUCCCACCUGACACAAAAACGAGUUUAUCUUUGCAGAAUUACCCUCAGCUUUAAAAAAAAAAACCAAAAAAACCCCAGAAAAUAUGGGCCACAGCAGCAGAAUAAUCUCAAAACAGGAUGUUCCUAAAGUUUCCAUCGAGGAUCAGCUGCUUUUUAAUUAGUCACCAGAGGGACAGAGAAGAAAGUUGCUAAUUAUGAGAACAUCAUAAGAAUGUAAACACUGUGGCCCAGUUUUAUGAUGGCAACACCUUUCUGUGGAUGCAAGGCUGAGCCUGGAUUGGCUAAUGAAUGGAAAAAUAUUGGGAUUUUUUCUGAACAACUCACGAAGAGGCAUCUGCAGUUAUAAAAUCAACCAUUUCCUUUGGAAAAAGAAUGGAAAUAUUUGACAAAAAUCCCUUCAGGAUUGGUUGUUUGGGUUUAUUUUGUUUUCGAUUUAUUUUUUUGUUUUCUUUUUAAAUUUAUCCCAGGAAUAAUCAAAAUGUGCAGUUUUUUUGAAAGAGAAAUCCUAAAUCAAGAUGGCUUUAUUGAAAACUGUUGGUACUCUCAGCAUUUUAUGAUGCCUGAAAUCUUCUUCUUCCCAGCUGCUUUUGUUUGCUGGUUCUGCCUUUUAAAAGGAUUCUGUGAUUCUAUGGGUGAUUAAGGCAGAUAAUGAGCUCCACUCAAGUUUGUGCCCCGGGAAAUAAAAAGAGAAGCAGGGAAGGUGCCUGAGGUGUU
This 1213-nucleotide long non-coding RNA is filed under the name Parus major (Great Tit). RNAcentral's name for it is "lncRNA (ENSPMJG00000017078.1)". Lineage: Eukaryota; Metazoa; Chordata; Aves; Passeriformes; Paridae. The record is from RNAcentral.